RNAcentral lists this ribosomal RNA (486 nucleotides) under uncultured bacterium. Its description in RNAcentral is "bacterial SSU rRNA". It matches the Rfam family "Bacterial small subunit ribosomal RNA", at positions 28 to 524 of the family's 1533-position model. The record is from RNAcentral.
GACGAACGCUGGCGGCGUGCUUAACACAUGCAAGUCGAACGAGAUCCAUGAGGUGGUAACACCUCGGAAGAUCUAGUGGCGAACGGGUGAGUAACACGUGAGGAACUUGCCCCAGACUCCGGGAUAAGCCGAGGAAACUUGGUCUAAUACCGGAUAUUCUCUCGAGGCCGCAUGGCCACUUGAGGAAAGUUUUUCGGUCGUGGGAGAGUCUCGCGGCCUAUCAGCUAGUUGGUGAGGAACGGCCCACCAAGGCUACGACGGGUAGCUGGUUUGAGAGAACGAUCAGCCACACUGGAACUGAGACACGGUCCAGACUCCUACGGGAGGCAGCAGUGGGGAAUCUUGCGCAAUGGGCGAAAGCCUGGCGCAGCAACGCCGCGUGCGGGAUGACGGCCCUUUGGGUUGUAAACCGCUUUCAGCAGGGACGAAAAUGACGGUACCUGCAGAAGAAGCCCCGGCUAACUACGUGCCAGCCGCCGCCGUAAC